UCCCUCUCAUUUUACUCUACAAAAUUGCCUCUUAUCAUUUUAGCAAAUAGCUUUUUAUCAGUUUUCUCUAAAAAUUAGUUCCUAAAAAAUUCAAUAAAAAUUGUCAAAGAUUUGUCUUAGUUAUAAUUUAAUAAAUUGUUGAAGUAUUGAAAAGAUAGUGAGUGUUUCCUUUGAUCAGUGAGGAAGUGAGAAAAACUGAGUUAAUUGGCUUAGAAGAAGUCCUCUGCCCGUUGUCCAGAUCUUUGUUCCAGCCAGCGAUCGGUUGUAUCUCAUCGAGCGACCAUAGUUGUUGGAAAAAAAACAAAGGAAAAUUUUGCUCCAACGAGCCCGUGUGGAAGCAUAGGCUCACAUUAAUCAUAAUUUUAUGCUAUUCCAGUUAUAUUCCGCAUUUCUUCACACUUCAGCAUACAUUCUAUCAUUCUUCUCCUUCUCACUCAUCUAAUUAAAGGUAUACUCAUCAAUUCACUCUUCCACUCACGCAUGCACUCAUCCUCAUUUAUCCAUUCAUCUCAUUUACUUAAAGAUCUUCCUGAAGUCUUCAAUCUUUUGAAUUCAAUCAAAUCGAUUCUGAAGGAUUCCUCUUGGAGAGUUUAAUUUCUAACUUUGAAAAAAAAAGUGAAAAUUAGAAAAAAAGAUGGAAUAUGAACAUUCCCUUCUUCUUUAAUUUUAUUGAAUCUGUGUUAUAACAUCAGAAACAACUUAAUCAAUAACAAAAUCAAAUUUUACAAAAACUAACCCAGUGUUGAAGCUUAAUAAAUUUAAAAAAAAUGUUUUUUGCUCUAUACUAUAAAAUUAAAUAGUAUAUAAAAUAAUAACAAUGUUGUUUUUUUAGUUUAUUUUGCAAUGUUAUAGCUACGUAAGUAAAUAAUGUCGCAAACGUAAUAUUCUUAAUCCGGUAAUUCUAUUACCAUUUUAAUAGCUGAAGCUAUAUAAUUUAACUUUUCUUUUUUUUAAUACAGAGGAAGGUUUUAAAUACUUGAAGUGAACGUAAAACUCGUCAGUUUUGUUUAAAGUUUUAAGGUUAUUGCAACAUAUACUAGCGCUUAACUUUUAAGGUUUGCAGUCAUUUUCAAUAUGCGAUAUAUUGCAUAUUUUGUUGUAAUCCUCGGGGUUAGUGCUAAACCUCCAAGUUUUUAUGAAUGUGCACUUGUGAAUAAUAACGAAUGCUCUUCAUUUAACUUUGGUAUAUGCUGCCAAAUUUUCCCUUAUAAUUCUGAUGCUUACACUAAUUGUAUGGGAUAUUGCGUGAACACUGUAAGUGACUACCUUAAGAAACUUUUCUAUAAUAUUUCUUUAAUUGAUUAUAAAAUAACUUUUAUUUUUUGUGUAUUGAACUUUAAACAGCCUGGAGAUAUAGGUGAGUUUAGUUUAACAAUAUUGAUAAGCUAUUUCUCAUGGUUAAUCUCGAAUUUAUUCAUAUAGGUAUCUGCUCUUACCUGACGGACUCCUUUUGUAAGCCACAGGAUUUGGGAAAUGCUGACAAAAUUGAUUCUUUGUGCUGCCGCGAAAAUUUCGAAAACUGCUGCACGGGCAUUCCAAAUUCAGAAGACUCAUUGUAUUUUUCACAAUGCAUAAAGAAGGCGUGCUUUGUUCAACAAGGUCGUCGUCCUCGAUCUUUCCUGGAUGUAUUUUUGAAUGUGAUUAAUGAAAUAAUGUUUAGGCCAUUUGGAUAUGAACUGCGUCAGUAAAUUUAUCAGAUGAUAUUAAUAAAUAAAUUUUCAAUUGAAUUUUUUUUUGUUAGAAAAGACAAAAUAUCAACAGAUUUUUAUUUCUUAAUUCUCCGGCACAUUUGAAAUCAAAAUUAACAUCCUUUUCUUUCUCACAUGUUUUGCAUAUGUCUAUCUCAUUCUUUCCAACUCAAAAUUCGAUUGAAUUAAAUUAAAUUUGGUGUGAUGUUCAAAAGAAGAAGAAGAAGGGUUUGAAAGAGUGAGAUAGACAUAUUCAUGGCGUAUGAGAAUGAUAGGUGUGUAAAUUUUAAUUACUUUCCUGAUCUAAAACCUGUUCCGCCCCCAUUUUUUGACCCUCUCGUCCUUAAAGGGUUAAGGAUCACAACAAAUUCAAUUUAGAUUUCAGUUCGAAAGAGUAGGAUAGAUAGACAGAGAAAAAAGGGAGAUUUAGAUUUCAUGAUUUUUUUUCUAAUUCAAAAGACUAUUAAAGGCUUUAAUUUCUAAGCUCAUUCAGGAAGAGAAAAAGCCUUCUUUUAAGUUGUGUUAAAUAUAUUUCAAUGAGAUUUGCAUUUCAAAGACGUCAAUUACGGAAGACUGAUUCAUUCUUUAAAAUAUUUUCACUAUUAUUUCUAUUUUGAUGAAUAUUUUUCACUGAGAGAGUAAAAUUAUGGAAAACAUUUUUGGAAAAUGAAAAAAAAGUACAUUUGGCCAGUAAAAUAUGAAAUUUGUUCAUAAAGUGGCUCUGGCACGCCUUUUAGAUCAGAAAAAUUUGAGGAAAUCAAAAUUAAUAUACUUUACUCUCUCGCAGACGCUUUGUUUUUAUCUAUCUAUCCUAGUCCAAUUCUUUCGCACUCCAAAUUCGAUUGAACUAAAAUGAAUUUAUUUUGACAUUUAAAAGAAGAAGAAGAAAGAGUGCGAAAAAAUGAGAUAGACAUACGGAUGCAAAACGUAUGAGAAAGUAAGGGAUUCCAAUUUCGGCUUCAUGGAAUUUUCCUGAUCUAAAAGCUGUGCUGCAGUCAUAACUUCUUAAUUUUCCCAUUGCCACUUAUAUUUCACUAUGUACCAAUUUUUAUUUUAAUGCCUCCAGCACACCUUUUAGACCAGUAAAACUUCAUGAAACCAAAAUUCGCGUCCCUUUUUCUAAAAUAUUUGAAUAAGUCUAUCCUACUCUUUCGGUUUGAAAAUUCGACUGAACUAAAUUUAAUUUGGUGUGAUGUUCAAAAGAAGAAGAAGAGUGCGAAAGAGUAGAAUAGAGAUAUACAAAUAAAGCUUUUAAGAAAGAAAGGGAUGCGAACUUUAUGAAAUUUACCUGAUAUAAAAGGUGCACCGGAGCCAUUUCUUACCAUUUUUACCAAAAUACUGUACAAUUUGCUGCAGCCUUAAAAUGAUAACAAAUAUAUUUCUGUGACCUCAUUAACAUUUGAUUUUUUUUUCACCGUGUGAUGUCAUUAUUUUUUCUCUG
RNA transcript from Phlebotomus papatasi, 3129 nucleotides. It is a transcript of the gene named cilia- and flagella-associated protein 276, with no coding region annotated. NCBI's taxonomy places the organism in Eukaryota, Metazoa, Arthropoda, Insecta, Diptera, Psychodidae. The transcript is spliced from 3 exons. The record is from RefSeq and is a predicted model, not a curated record.